GCAUAUCAAUAAGCGGAGGAAAAGAAACUAACAAGGAUUCCCCUAGUAACGGCGAGUGAAGCGGGAAGAGCUCAAAUUUGUAAUCUGGCACUUUCAGUGUCCGAGUUGUAAUCUCGAGAAGUGUUUUCCGCGCCGGACUGCAUACAAGUCUGUUGGAAUACAGCGUCAUAGUGGUGAGAACCCCGUAACUGAUGCAGAUGCCCGGUGCUUUGUGAUACACUUUCGAAGAGUCGAGUUGUUUGGGAAUGCAGCUCAAAUUGGGUGGUAAAUUCCAUCUAAAGCUAAAUAUUGGCGAGAGACCGAUAGCGAACAAGUACCGUGAGGGAAAGAUGAAAAGCACUUUGGAAAGAGAGUUAACAGUACGUGAAAUUGUUGGAAGGGAAACGAUUGAAGUCAGACUUGUUAUCUGGAGUUCAGCCUUUCGGUGUACUCUCCAGUUUACAGGCCAGCAUCAGUUUUCGGGGCGGGAAAAUCGUAAUUUGAAGGUAGCAGCCUAGCUGUGUUAUAGCUUUUUACUGGAUUCCGCUUUGGGGACUGAGGAACGCAGUGUGCUUUUAGCAAUACCCUCGGGUAUUUCACACUUAGGAUGCUGGUGGAAUGGCUUUAAACGACCCGUCUUGAAACACGGACCAAGGAGUCUAACAUGCUUGCGAGUAUUUGGGUGUCAAACCCGGAUGCGCAAUGAAAGUGAAUGAAGGUGGGAUCCGCAAGGUGCACCAUCGACCGAUCUGGAUUUUUUAAGAUGGAUUUGAGUAAGAGCAAUUAUGUUGGGACCCGAAAGAUGGUGAACUAUGCCUGAAUAGGGCGAAGCCAGAGGAAACUCUGGUGGAGGCUCGUAGCGGUUCUGACGUGCAAAUCGAUCGUCAAAUUUGGGUAUAGGGGCGAAAGACUAAUCGAACCAUCUAGUAGCUGGUUCCUGCCGA
RNAcentral lists this ribosomal RNA (923 nucleotides) under Curvibasidium cygneicollum. RNAcentral's name for it is "LSU rRNA". It matches the Rfam family "Eukaryotic large subunit ribosomal RNA", at positions 38 to 964 of the family's 3401-position model. The record is from RNAcentral. Lineage: Eukaryota; Fungi; Basidiomycota; Microbotryomycetes.